CAGUUCCAGUGGUGAUUGUCACUGCUCUCCACCCAUCCAGUUCUCAAAUGGGGUGGGUGUGUGCUACAUUUUGUAUCAUUUGCAGGGGGGAUUUGAUUUGGAAAGCAGAGCAAUGCCCCCUUGGAUGUGGGGAAGCAGAACAUGAGUGUCCCAUCCCCAGAAUGUCCUCAUCCCAAUCUCCCUAGAUCUGUGACAAGCAGGCAUUAACUCACAAAAAUAUCCCUGGAAUCGAGGUUGCUGCCGGAAGCCUCUGUAGGUAUCUAGUCUCAGAAUCAUCACUUUGAAUAUUUAAGCUAUCAGUGACAACUUCCACCAGAUGGCGCCAAAGUACAUCUGGGACCAGAAGGGAUUUGGAUCCUGUAGCCAGACCCACAACUCUACCAAACCAACAUCGCAGGCCCAGGGGUCAUUUCAUUAACCUCUCAAUAACAUCGCUCUGAAUUUUAAUUUAAUUUUUUAGUUUCCACUUACUGCUUUAUGACAGCGGUUUUAGUGUGCAUGGAUAGGGCUAAAUCAUGUAAAUAAUAGAGAAAGAUACAAAACAAAAAUGCGUUUUUUUUUUUUUUUUUUGGAGACAGGGUCUUGCUCUAUCACCCAGGCUGGAGUGCAGUGGCACGACCACGGCCCACUGCAGCCUUGACCUCCUGGGCUCAAGCAAUCUUCCUGCCUCUGCCUCCUAAGUAGUUGGGACUACAAGCGUGUGCUACGAUGCCUAGUUAACUUUUUAUUUUUUGUAGAGAUGGGGUCUUGCUCUGCUGCCCAGGCUGGUCUCAAACUCUUGGGCUCAAGCGAUCCUCUCGUUUAGGCCUCCCCAAAUGCUGGAAUUACAGGCGUGAGCCACCUUUCCUCGCCAUAAAUGCUUCCAUUUCCGCCUCGACAACUACUCCACCUGAAGCUGUUCAUUUCUUCUUGCAUUCCUUCCAGAAAAAAGUUAUACACAU
Molecule: long non-coding RNA, 941 nt
Filed under: Homo sapiens (human)
Lineage: Eukaryota; Metazoa; Chordata; Mammalia; Primates; Hominidae
Description: HSALNT0174630
Source: RNAcentral